Molecule: long non-coding RNA, 786 nt
Organism: Gossypium arboreum
Lineage: Eukaryota; Viridiplantae; Streptophyta; Magnoliopsida; Malvales; Malvaceae
Exons: 2
Source: RefSeq, a predicted model, not a curated record
UAAAAAAUAAGCCAACUGAACACAAAUCGAAGACUCAUGCAAAGGGGGGAUCUAACGUGCAAAUAUGCCAUUUAAACAAAGAAGGCGCGGAUCCGGGUACCCAGCGGGUUGACGCGCGGACCUUCUUUGUUUGGAACGGCGCCAUUUUCGAAACCCUCCCCAAGCCUUCCUUUAACCUUUCCUUCUCCUUAAGUCGAUUUUCUUCCCUUUUGAAAGCCAAAAACCCUUAAAAAUAAACAACAUGGUUCUAUUAGCAAGCCUCUGUUGAAUCACCAUCAUUUGGUGACCAACUGCAUGCAAACAAACGCUCCAAUUACACCAUUGAUGGAGCUUACCCAUACCUUGAAGAAUCCAAUAAGUAUGGAGCGAUGGUCGUACGGAGAAACGGAGAGAAGCAUGCUCAAACGGAACCAUGUGAGGAAUUCGCUCGUAAAUCCCAACUUCCUGGCAAUGUUCUAGUACGUUCCAGAUACUUGGUUGCUGGAAUACCUUUCUUUUUUGGGCUUUUUCGGGUUUGGGCUAGAUUUAGGGCCUAGGUUUAUAGAAUUGGGUUUUAACAUUUGUUAGGUUAUGAAUUAUUUUGGUACAUGCAUUGUAAAGGGACUUUGCUGGACUAUUUAGUCUUUGGAUUUUACUUAUUUAUUCGGGUUUAUUAUUUGCAAAUGAAUUAAUUGGGCCCGGGCAAAAUUGGUUAUCUACAACUGCCCCUAUUUGCUCAUUGACGUGUAACGGAAAUAGAGCAAAGACUUCAAAAGAACCGAUUUUGCUCGGUUUUGUUGAGUUUCA